This is a long non-coding RNA of Arachis duranensis, 3255 nucleotides long. RefSeq lists it as uncharacterized. NCBI's taxonomy places the organism in Eukaryota, Viridiplantae, Streptophyta, Magnoliopsida, Fabales, Fabaceae. The transcript is spliced from 4 exons. The record is from RefSeq and is a predicted model, not a curated record.
ACUUGAGUUACAAUUGCACACCCUCUCUUCGAAACUUGAUCUUUAUCUUUCUCCUUCUUCAAACCGUAAACCUAACUCGUUCAGAUAUGGCUCUCUUCAUUGUGCACUCCGCCACCACAGCACUCCGAAUAACAUCGAAGAACCCCAGCACUCCGCGAAGAACGUCGCCGGCGCUCGCAAUGCUUCCCUCGGCAAUCCCUAUUCCGGCACUCCCCCAUCGCUGCUCGCACCUUAAACCCCUGACCCUCCUUCUGAGGUGACUCUCUCUGGCGGUGACUCGCUCGGCGCUCACUGAGUCACUGUCCGUCGCAAAUCCUCCGCCGCCACUCCCUUCGAUCGCUGCAAACCCCUAAUCCCUUCUGCCGCCUCUCCCUUCCGUCGGAGCAUUGGAGAAGGUUUGUUGUUCAGGGCCGCUCCCUUCCGUCGACGCUUCAUUGCUGGUUUUGAGAGCUGGUAUCAGGCAGUUGCUUACAUUGAAGCCUCUGCAUUCAUCUAUCAGGGUCGAAAGGUCACAAGCUAUAUCUUAUGGCUUAAAGUUGACCCAAAAUAAUAACUUUUAAUUUAUUUAUACGAGGAACACCACGACGGCGACAGCAGAAGAGGGAUUACAUCAGUGCUGUGUUGUUCCGUUAAACCCUGGAGCAACGUAGAAGAUGUAUAUGUGUUGUUCCGUUAAACCCUGAAGCAACGUAGAUGUAUAAGUCCGAUUAGACCACUGAUGACCGAAAACAAAAAACUAAAACAACGGCCCAACCCACCUCCUUAAAUCAAAUCCAGUUGGGGAUCUGUAACAUUGGCUUCGUAUUCCAUUAGCCGGCUCCCCAUUCCACUACUAAGGUAAACAAGAUUAUAGAGCUCUGUCAAAUUUGUUCCUGCAACCAUCAUAUUGUCACAUGUCAAUACAUCCUUGCAUCUGUGUACAUAAACGUGUAGGAGAGCUCCGCACAAAGCACAGAUCAGCUAUGUCUAUGGUGGGCCAUCUUAUGUUAAUCCAUGAUAAAUUCUGCUAGCUUCUUUACCCUUACUCUAAAAUUGCUCUAUCUGUCGCUCUCUAUUCCACGUUGUAUUUUCUUUUUUAACCCACCUUCUAUCAUUCAAGCAGCGUAUUUUUGGAAAAAAAAGACUGACCUGUUCCUAAAAAUAAAAUAUUUGACUUGCAGCCAUUACACGCGGUAGAAUUUUCUUGGCAAUGCAAGUCUGAAGUAGCUUUGACAAAUAGUGAAAAAUGAUGUAUUCCCCUUAGAAAUGGAAAAACGAAGAACAAGAAAAAAGGUCAACUUUUUCUCUCUUCUCACUGUCUCCCACGGAAUGAACAUGUUAUUUUUUUUCUUGUUCUUCGUUUUUUCAUUUCUGAGGGGAAUACAUCAUUUUUCACUAUUUGUCAAAGCUAUUUCAGACUUGCAUUGCCAAGAAAACUCUACCGCGUGUAAUGGCUGCAAAUCAAAUAUUUUGUUUUUAGGAACAGGUAAGUCAUUUUUUCUCAAAAAUACGUUUGCUUGAAUGAUAAAAGGUGGGUUAAAGAAGAAAAUAGAACGUGGGAUAGAGAGCGACAGAUAGAACGAUUUUAGAGUAAGGAUAAAGGAGUUAGCAAAGUUUAUCAUGGAUUAACAUAAGAUGGCCCACCAUAGACAUAGCUGAUCUGUACUUUGUGCGGAGCUCUUCUAUACGUUUAUGUAUACAGAUGUAAGGAUGUAUUGAUAUGUGGCAAGAUGAUGGUUACAUGAACAAGUUUGACAGAGCUCUAUAAUCUUGUUUGCCUUAGUAGUGGAAGGGGGAGCCGGCUAAUGGAAUACGAAGCUAGAUCCCCAACUGGAUUUAGGGGGUGGGCUGGGCCGUUGUUUUAGUUUUUUGUUUUCGGUCAUCAGUGGUCUAAUCGGGCUUAUACAUCUUCUACGUUGCUUCAAGGUUUAACGGAACAUAAUGAACAGUUGGAACACGCGUCUUGUUAUGAUGUGCUCCAUUUUUGUUCCUCUGCUCGCACCGUGCCGAAGCGUCUGGUGUGCUCAGGUUGGCGUUCUGAAACCUUUGAUGUGUAUCGUUACAAGGGAGAACCCGCAGCGGAAUCGCAACCAUAUGCAAUUGAAGGGUUCGGCGAACAAUAUGACGAUGAAUUCUGUGAAUUUGGGUCACCUACAAACACAAUGACAUGAAAAUAAGGAAGCCUCAAAGAAUUGGCCGAGGAACAAUUACAGCAAUACAUGAAAAAUUGGGCCAGUCACAGCGAGCAGCAGCGCGGCUGGGAGCGGGGUAGCACAGCAACUUAUUGUGAAUUCGGAGACGUUUGCUGUUUUGUCUGGAGUUCAUAGUUUGGUUGCUUGCAUCUUGAAAAGACUUGGAGGAAAGGAUGAUGGUAUGAGUGGGAACUUUGCUAAUCUCUUCUUCUGAUUACUUUAAACUUCAUAUCUGCAAUUAUUAAUACUGGAGUAGCUGGAUGUUGUACUGGCCUUGCACUAGGCUUUUCAGGUGCGCCACAAGCUCUCUUGCAGAGCUGCCUCUCCUUUAUUAUGAUAGCCGGAAAACAAGUUUGCAACACAAUACACACCCGCCCCUCGUACUCCCCCUUCAGUUCCCUCUUCCAGGUGCUUUUUCCUUUUUCAAGAAGCGCAACAAGGGAGCUCAUGGUACUUGGCAAUAAGAAAUCAGGCUAUCAUACUUAACAUAUUACUUAACCGAGUUCUAAAUAUUGCACUUUAUCUUGUACCUUGUUGGUAGAGUAUGUUGUUGGAGAGCAUAAUAUAUGAUGAAUGAUUCAGCUGUGAUUCAUGCAUGUGGCAUAUCGAAACAAAUGAGUGUAACAACUCAAUUAAAUUUAUACAUUUAGUUAAACUCUUGCUUCUAACUAUAAACUCAUCUUUGCCAAGUGAUUAUAUCUAAUAAAGUCUUUUAGUGUUGCAGGUGGCUACCCUAUCCUAAGCAUCGAAUUCAUAUAUUACAAGAAGCCAAAUGGUAAAAGUGUAAUAAAAAUGCACCACCCCGAAAUUGUUGUCUCAUAUAUGGGAUCACGACAAAUUAUAUAUAUUUGAUAGGGCAAAUAAAAAAAAUGUUGAAUUUGGAUAAAAAAUUAAAAAUAAACGCCACUUCUUCGAUGUUAAACUAAAUAUGCUUAGUUGGCUAAUCAUAGGUUGUUUUCACUCGAUCUUUCAGAAAAUUGCCGAUCAAUACAGGAAUUUACAUACGCUGUAUAUUUGUAGGAGCCUACAGUUUCGGGAUUAAUCAAGCAUUUCCUCCUACAACCUCUAUUUUAUUUAUUAUUGU